GCCGCGCUGCCUCAGCAAGGUGGUCAUGCUCGCGCUCCUCAUGAGCUAAGUUGAGUUUAUACUUUAGGCAGUUCAUGAGCUAAGUUGAGUUUUAGCCUUACAAUCAGUUUGCGUCAAACAUUUUGUAUAACAGUAAGCUAGAGAGUAGCUGCUAUAGCAAGCAGCUACAACUACAAACAAGAGGGGCACAAGCAGCAUUGCCGCCCAUACCAAUGAGCACAAAGCAUCAACUUCUGCUGGUUACUAACAACUCCAAUGUAAAGUUUCCUCCAGUCCGAUAAAACAAUACCAAGAAAAGUUUCAGUUACCAGUUACUAUGUGUUAUUUAAUUUGCAGCAGCCAGCAACUAGACAAAUGGUAGCGGAACUAAUAAGCAAAAGAAUCACCAAGUGUACAUUGGGAUUCAAAAUGGAUAGGACGAAUUUCUCAUCCAGUGAAUCAGACAAACUUGUUAGUUUCUUCGUAAUGAGAGAGAACAAUCAGACGUUAAAUACAGGCCCCAAUGCACGGAGCCAACCGGCCCUGCCCACACCACACCACAGGCCGAAACGAGAGGCGGAGAGAUGAAUCUACCCGGAGAGGCUCAAGAUCCGCCCCCAGCCCCACGACCAUGACCCACCACCUGCAGAAGGCACCGCUGACAGCCACAGAUCCACCGACGGCCAACGCCCCCGACCCAGGCACCAGCUACAAGCACAAGCAAGCCACGCCGCCGUCGCAGCGGGCCGACCGCGUGCGUGGGCGCCAACGCCGCUGGCCAGCCACGGCCACGCGAGCGCGCGGGCACCACCGCCGCGGGCUAGCCGCGCGAGCCACCACGGCCGUGGCCGCAAGGCCACCCGCCCAUGCCAGCAGGGAGGAGCGGCGGGCGGCGACCAACCCCUAGAUCCGGCCAGUCAGCCCGCCGAUCCGGCCUUCCCAAGGGCGGAUCAGGUCGCCGACCACCUCCAGGAAGAGGGAGGAGUGGAGUGGGUGGAAGAAGGGAGGGAAAUGAGUGAGAGAGCAGUCCCGCCGCUGCCCUCCUCGCUGCUCGUUGAACUUCCGGUGAGCUGCUCCGGCGACGGCGGGGGUGAAGACCGGCGGCGGUGGGUGGAGUUGGACGGGGUCGAUGGGGAGCCGCCAGUGACGCCUAGAGGAGGACGACGCGGGGACAGGCAAUACUCUAAAGGAUGACUUAGACAUCCUUUGAUGGUGUUGGAAACGAUGAACGAAAAUCAAGCUUUGUAAUGUAUGAAAAACUCAUGCUUGAUCGUUGGGAUACAGAUUUUGUGUAUACUAGGUUGUGCUGUUGGGCUGGCCGGUACUACAAGAGAAGGAGGACUCCACACGAACAGGGAAAUCGAACAGAACAACUACCACAUCGUAUUUCUCAUCCCAACGCCAUCGUCUUCCUCCUCGGUAGCUGCUGGUUCCUCACUUCUAGGGUUAGAGUUUCCCUCUCUUAAUCCUCUACCUCUUCCUACUUAGUUUGCUCUUGAUCUCCCCAUCCUAAGAUCGUGUAUCUUUGCUCGAACUCCUUGAUUACCAGUGAAACCAGUUGUCAUGUUUGCGCUGUUUGCAUCCAUGGAGUGCGGUGCUAACAGAUUUGCGUGUAGAUUGACUUUGAUAUAUCAUUAGCUGAGGGGUGAUCUUGAGAACCUAUGGAGAUAAGUACACAAGUACUCUAGAAGAAAUUUGCAAUAUCGUCACAUCUGUCAGACGACCGUCACCUUUGGAGGGCAAAAGUGACAUUAGGUCACAAGGGUGAAUUGAACGCCGCUCUUUUUCUCUAUCAACAAAACUGGUUUGAAAAAUAGCUUUCUUCAUUUGUCUGGCUUCUCUAACUUUCUGAACUUGAUGUUUAUGAAGUUUUCUCCAUCGUCUACAGGCUACAGCUCAUGAUGAAAUAAACAUUGCCAAGGAAGCUUCUCUGAAAACAUAUUAGGUUGAUGGCAGCAUGCUAAAGCAGAAAAGAAAAUACUAAGUUUUACCUAUAGCACAUACUACCAUGAUGGCCAGGGUUUAUCCUCUUAGCAAUCUCGGACCAGGAAGGCCCGAAGCCUCGAACUCAGAUAACAUGGAAACUUCUUCAGGCCGCUAGUCAUCAAAAUAUAAAUCUGGAUCAAGAAUAUUGGUCGCUCUGCCAAGGACCGCUAGAAUAUGGUAUCCACUGCUCUGGCUCCACGCCUCCGCUGCGGCAUUCUCCACUGCUCUCUUCUUCUCCAACUCCGGUGGCCGGCACGACCGCAACACAGCUCAUUCCCUCAAAUCCGUGAUCGACUGUGCCUUGAUUUGGUUACAUGAACUGGCAAGAAAAAAAAUCUUAUAUUUCUAUAUUACAAAGCCGGUUCAAAACGGCAUCUAUGAGACUAUCCACGUCGCUCCAAAAAUCGUGGCCGUUCAAUGGUGGAUCGUCCACCUGCUCUCUCGUGCGCCAGCGUAUCAACGUCAUCGCAAUUUCUCUGAGCCGCUCGAUCUCCCAGCAACAGACACAGAUCGCCCAGUAGCAUCUUCCUCUAGACUCUUCUUCCUCGCCUUUGACCGGUCUCCUCGUCACGCGAUGCUUCCAGGAGGAUCU
RNAcentral lists this long non-coding RNA (2557 nucleotides) under Zea mays. Its description in RNAcentral is "long non-coding RNA (ZMAY_LNC001377)". Lineage: Eukaryota; Viridiplantae; Streptophyta; Magnoliopsida; Poales; Poaceae. The record is from RNAcentral.